Molecule: unclassified non-coding RNA, 252 nt
Filed under: uncultured Thermoactinomycetaceae bacterium
Lineage: Bacteria; Bacillati; Bacillota; Bacilli; Caryophanales; Thermoactinomycetaceae
Description: contains 16S-23S intergenic spacer region
Rfam family: Bacterial small subunit ribosomal RNA
Source: RNAcentral
UACGUAGGGGGCAAGCGUUGUCCGGAAUUAUUGGGCGUAAAGCGCGCGCAGGCGGCACUUUAAGUUGGGGGUUAAAGGCAGUGGCUCAACCACUGUACGCCUCCAAAACUGGAGCGCUUGAGUGCAGGAGAGGAGAGUGGAAUUCCCGGUGUAGCGGUGGAAUGCGUAGAGAUCGGGAGGAACACCUGUGGCGAAGGCGACUCUCUGGCCUGUAACUGACGCUGAGGCGCGAAAGCGUGGGGAGCAAACAGG